UUCCCUGUGGCUCAGUUGGUAGAGCAUGGUGUUUGCAACGCCAGGGUUGUAGGUUCGAUUCCCACGGGGAAA
This 72-nucleotide transfer RNA is filed under the name Salmo salar (Atlantic salmon). It matches the Rfam family "tRNA". From Rfam's summary of the family: Transfer RNA (tRNA) molecules are approximately 80 nucleotides in length. Their secondary structure includes four short double-helical elements and three loops (D, anti-codon, and T loops). The record is from Rfam by way of RNAcentral. Lineage: Eukaryota; Metazoa; Chordata; Actinopteri; Salmoniformes; Salmonidae.